CAACCAUCAAGCGCGGCUUAGUAUUAGGAGCCGUCCACAGACACACCCCAAAGUCAGUGGCGACGCCGUCCGGCCUCUAACAUAGUAAAUCGCCUCACUAUAGGACCGUCCGGCUAUCUACCAACAACACAACCACAUCUCAA
RNAcentral lists this unclassified non-coding RNA (143 nucleotides) under uncultured Ascomycota. RNAcentral's name for it is "sequence contains ITS2". The record is from RNAcentral. Lineage: Eukaryota; Fungi; Ascomycota.